UACGUAGGGCGCAAGCGUUGUCCGGAAUCAUUGGGCGUAAAGCGCGCGUAGGUGGCUUCGUAAGUCCGUUGUGAAAGUCAAAGGCUCAAUCUUUGAAAGCCGAUGGAUACUGCGGAGCUAGAGUACGGAAGAGGCGAGUGGAAUUCCUGGUGUAGCGGUGGAAUGCGCAGAUAUCAGGAGGAACACCAGUAGCGAAGGCAGCUCGCUGGGACGUUACUGACACUGAGGCGCGAAAGCGUGGGGAGCGAACAGG
This 253-nucleotide ribosomal RNA is filed under the name uncultured bacterium. RNAcentral's name for it is "partial 16S ribosomal RNA". It matches the Rfam family "Bacterial small subunit ribosomal RNA", at positions 524 to 776 of the family's 1533-position model. The record is from RNAcentral.